AGUGAACGCUGGCGGUAGGCCUAACACAUGCAAGUCGAACGGCAGCACAGUAAGAGCUUGCCCUUACGGUUGGCGAGUGGCGGACGGGUGAGGCAUACAUCGGCAUCUACUUUUUCGGGGGGGAUAACGUAGGGCCACUUACGCUAAUACCGCAUACGACCUACGGGUGAAAUCAGGGGUUCUUCGGACCUUGCGCGAUUCAAUUAGCCGAUGUCGGAUUAGCUAGUGGGCGGGGUAAAGUCCCACCAAGGCGACGAUCCGUAGCUGGUCUGAGAGGAUGAUCGGCCACACGGAAACUGAGAAACGGUCCAGCCUCUUACGGGAGGCAGCAGUGGGGAAUAUUGGACAAUGGGCGCAAGCCUGAGCCAGCCAUACCGCGGAGGUGAAGAAGGCCUUCGGGUGGUAAAGCCCUUUUGUUGGGAAAGAAAAGCAGCAGGUUAAUACCCCGCUGUUCUGACGGUCCCCAAAGAAUAAGCACCGGCAAACUUCGU
Molecule: ribosomal RNA, 491 nt
Filed under: uncultured bacterium
Lineage: Bacteria
Description: partial 16S ribosomal RNA
Rfam family: Bacterial small subunit ribosomal RNA
Source: RNAcentral